This 253-nucleotide ribosomal RNA is filed under the name uncultured bacterium. RNAcentral describes it as "partial 16S ribosomal RNA". It matches the Rfam family "Bacterial small subunit ribosomal RNA", at positions 524 to 776 of the family's 1533-position model. The record is from RNAcentral.
UACGUAGGGUGCGAGCGUUGUCCGGAAUUAUUGGGCGUAAAGAGCUCGUAGGCGGUGUGUCGCGUCGGCCGUGAAAACUCAGGGCUCAACCCUGAGCGUGCUUCCGAUACGGGCAGACUAGAGGUAUGCAGGGGAGAACGGAAUUCCUGGUGUAGCGGUGGAAUGCGCAGAUAUCAGGAGGAACACCGGUGGCGAAGGCGGCCUGCUGGGCAGUAGCUGACGCUGAUGCGCGACAGCGUGGGGAGCAAACAGG